RNAcentral lists this long non-coding RNA (215 nucleotides) under Malus domestica (apple). RNAcentral describes it as "long non-coding RNA (MDOM_LNC005017)". Lineage: Eukaryota; Viridiplantae; Streptophyta; Magnoliopsida; Rosales; Rosaceae. The record is from RNAcentral.
GAUUUUGCUUCACAUUAUCUCGAUCAAGAUAGAAUGAAGCUUUUGAGAAUUUGUAGUUGUCCUCUAUUGAUGAAGCUUUUGUUGGUGAAGCUUUGGAGUUGUAGCUUUUGUUGGUGAAGCUUUGGAGUUGAAGCUUUUGUUGGCACCAUAAAUUGGUUUUGCUUCAUAGUCUUGAUCAAGAGUGUGUGAAGCUUUUGAGAAUUGUGGUUGCCCUC